GAUAAAAGUUCCUCACCGAGAGAAGCCAGGUGGAGAAAACCUACAGCCACAAAGCCAAACUGCUGACAAACUAAAGUCACCUGAUUUAAUCAGCUAAGGAGGAUAAUUGAUUUCGCCCUGGUUUGGUUGAGUCAAGCAGGUGACAUGGUUGUGCAACAGAUAUUGUUGCCAGCUCAUCCCCCAGGGUUCUCGGUUCGAUCCAGAGCUUGGGUUACAGCCCGUGUUUUUCAUGUUCUUUUGCCAUGUUGUCUGCUUUCCUCCUUGAACAUUCUGGUAGGUGUAUAAUUUAUACUCAAUUGCCCCUAGGUGUGUGCAUGCAUAGUGCCCUUCAAUGACCUACUGUCCCAUCCUGGGAAUGUCCCUGUUUAACACUAAGUAUACUGGGCAUAGCCUCCAUAUCCACAGAGGCUCUGAACAGGGUAAAGCCUUUACUAAAAAUGGAGGAUGAAUAAAUGAUUAUUCAGACAAACUGUUUAGCAGAUGCCUAAUUAUUUCUUCCAUUUUUAUCUAUUAUUAUCUAUGAUUGGCUAGGUAUAUAAAAAGAUCUAAAUAUUAUCUCAAACUUUCAUAUUUCCUCUGAAUGUGUGUGUGUGUGUGUGUGUGUGUGUGUGUGUGUGUGUGUGUGUGUGUG
Molecule: long non-coding RNA, 631 nt
Organism: Tachysurus fulvidraco (yellow catfish)
Lineage: Eukaryota; Metazoa; Chordata; Actinopteri; Siluriformes; Bagridae
Exons: 2
Source: RefSeq, a predicted model, not a curated record